CACCGGCCUGGGCGGGGAUCUCCGCGCCGAUCAUCCGGCGCAUGAGCCGGUAGUACACGCCGGCCGUGUACCGCUUGAACGCGGUGUCGGUGC
Molecule: transfer RNA, 93 nt
Filed under: Couchioplanes azureus
Lineage: Bacteria; Bacillati; Actinomycetota; Actinomycetes; Micromonosporales; Micromonosporaceae
Description: Couchioplanes caeruleus subsp. azureus tRNA-Ala
Source: RNAcentral